This 438-nucleotide long non-coding RNA is filed under the name Theobroma cacao (cacao). RNAcentral's name for it is "long non-coding RNA (TCAC_LNC003551)". Lineage: Eukaryota; Viridiplantae; Streptophyta; Magnoliopsida; Malvales; Malvaceae. The record is from RNAcentral.
CCAUUGAUAGCUAAAUAUAGUUCCCUAAGUCCCUCUUCAUUUUGUCUCUCUCAUAUCAAACUUUAUCCCUCUUGCUCUCAACCCUACAUCUCUGUGUGUGCCAGUUACCAAUGGAAAUUCAGUUCCAACAACAAGAGCAGCAGCAGCAACUGCAUCGAAAAUCAAGCAAUAUUCCUGUUAGCAAAGGGGGCAAAUUCAAGGGAAGAAAUAAAAACAACGGUAAGGUUAACAAGUUUGUUGGUGUGAGGCAAAGGCCUUCUGGUAGAUGGGUGGCUGAGAUCAAGGACACAACACAGAAGAUCAGGAUGUGGCUUGGCACCUUUGAGACUGCUGAAGAAGCUGCUAGAGCUUAUGAUGAAGCUGCUUGCCUUCUCCGCGGAUCCAAUACCCGAACCAACUUCAUUACACAGGUGUCCUUGGAUUCUCCUCUUGCUUCUC